This 407-nucleotide ribosomal RNA is filed under the name uncultured bacterium. RNAcentral's name for it is "partial 16S ribosomal RNA". It matches the Rfam family "Bacterial small subunit ribosomal RNA", at positions 30 to 526 of the family's 1533-position model. The record is from RNAcentral.
AUUGAACGCUGGCGGCAGGCCUAACACAUGCAAGUCGAGCGGAGCGGCGGACGGGUGAGUAAUGCCUAGGAAUCUGCCUGGUAGUGGGGGAUAACGUCCGGAAACGGGCGGUAAUACCGCAUACUAUCAGAUGAGCCUAGGUCGGAUUAGCUAGUUGGUGGGGUAAAGGCCUACCAAGGCGAUGAGCCGUAACUGGUCUGAGAGGAUGAUCAGGCAGACUGGAACUGAGACACGGUCCAGAGUCCUACGGGAGGAAGCAGUGGGGAAUAUUGGACACGGGACGAAAGUCUGAUUCAGCCAUGCCGCGUGUGUGAAGAAGUUCUUCGGAUUGUAAGGCACUUUAAGUUGGGAGGCGUUACCAACAGAAUAAGCACCGGCUAACUUCGUGCCAGCAGCCGCGGUAAUUC